Molecule: long non-coding RNA, 249 nt
Filed under: Elaeis guineensis (African oil palm)
Lineage: Eukaryota; Viridiplantae; Streptophyta; Magnoliopsida; Arecales; Arecaceae
Description: long non-coding RNA (EGUI_LNC068245)
Source: RNAcentral
GUCGGGAGCAGGAGGAGAACCUCGCCUCGACUUGAGCAAAGUCGAAGGCCUGGACUCCUACGGGAGCCGGGCUCCACCCACGACUUCUGCAACAAGGAAGACUCCGCCUGGACUCCUACGGGAACCGGGCUCCACCCACGACUUCUGCAGCACGGAAGACUCCGCCCGCCCUGGCGAUGGCCCUUACGUGCCCCCGCGGGAAUGGGAGGAGAACCUCAUCCUGACGGUGACGAAACCCGACCGCCCAAC